CAAUAGCGUAUACUAACGUUGUUGCAGUUAAAAAGCUCGUAGUUGGAUUUCUGAAGGUGGUUGGAUUGGUGUGACCUCGCGUUGCCUCAACCAUACUAUUUUCAACAUAUGCGAUGAAUUGGUGUGGUUAAUUAAGUUUGAUCCGCCAUUAAAUCGCUCGUUUACUUUGAGAAAAUUAGAGUGUUCAAAGCAGGCAUAACGCCUUGAAUAUGUUCGCAUGGAAUAAUAGCAUAGGACUUUGGUUCUAUUUGUUGGUUGUUCGAGAACUGGAGUAAUGAUUGAUAGGGACGGUUGGGGGCAUCCGUAUUCUCAAGCGAGAGGUGAAAUUCUUGGACCUUGGGAAGACGAACAGCUGCGAAAGCGUUUGCCUAGGACGUUCUCUUUAA
RNAcentral lists this ribosomal RNA (386 nucleotides) under uncultured eukaryote. Its description in RNAcentral is "partial 18S ribosomal RNA". It matches the Rfam family "Eukaryotic small subunit ribosomal RNA", at positions 592 to 976 of the family's 1831-position model. The record is from RNAcentral.